Molecule: ribosomal RNA, 509 nt
Filed under: uncultured bacterium
Lineage: Bacteria
Description: bacterial SSU rRNA
Rfam family: Bacterial small subunit ribosomal RNA
Source: RNAcentral
AGAGUUUGAUUAUGGCUCAGGAUGAACGCUGGCGGCGUGCUUAACACAUGCAAGUCGAACGGAGCUUAAGAAGGAAGCUUGCUUUCAUUUUAAGCUUAGUGGCGGACGGGUGAGUAACGCGUGAGCAACCUGCCCCAUAGUGGGGAAUAACACCGAGAAAUCGGUGCUAAUACCGCAUAAUGUCGGAGGACCGCAUGAUCUUCCGACCAAAGGAUUUAUUCGCUAUGGGAUGGGCUCGCGUCCGAUUAGGCAGUUGGCGGGGUAACGGCCCACCAAACCGACGAUCGGUAGCCGAACUGAGAGGUUGAUCGGCCACAUUGGGACUGAGACACGGCCCAGACUCCUACGGGAGGCAGCAGUGGGGAAUAUUGGGCAAUGGGCGAAAGUCUGAACCCCCAGCAAUGCCGCGUGCGGGAUGAAGGUCUUCGGAUUGUAAACCGCUGUUUGGAGGGACGAAAUUUGACGGUACUUCCAGAGAAAGCCACGGCUAACUACGUGCCAGCAGCCGC